AGCGUUGUUCGGAUUUACUGGGCGUAAAGGGCGCGUAGGCGGUCAGCACAAGUCAGUUGUGAAAUCUCCGGGCUUAACUCGGAAAGGUCAACUGAUACUGUGCGACUAGAGUGCGGAAGGGGCAACUGGAAUUCUUGGUGUAGCGGUGAAAUGCGUAGAUAUCAAGAGGAACACCUGCGGCGAAGGCGGGUCUCUGGGCAGUAACUGACGCUGAGGAGCGACAGCGUGGGGAGCAAACAGG
Molecule: ribosomal RNA, 241 nt
Filed under: uncultured bacterium
Lineage: Bacteria
Description: partial 16S ribosomal RNA
Rfam family: Bacterial small subunit ribosomal RNA
Source: RNAcentral